RNAcentral lists this long non-coding RNA (1483 nucleotides) under Macaca fascicularis (crab-eating macaque). RNAcentral's name for it is "PSMB8 antisense RNA 1 (head to head)". Lineage: Eukaryota; Metazoa; Chordata; Mammalia; Primates; Cercopithecidae. The record is from RNAcentral.
UCCACAUCCCCCUGCCUUUUCCGAGAAAAGGACAGUUAGUGCCUGGACCAAGACUAUCAUAUUGGGGACCGUCUUCUCUGCUCUCCCUUUAUGGGGGUCGGGAGAACGAUGGGUCAAGGGUUGUCCGAAGAAAGCGAGAAAGCGACGGGCGCCUUCAAAAGCCCCCUUGGCGAUGUUACAGUAAGAGCAUUGCUCCUUGCUUGGCCGAGCACUGCGGAGUUUCACGCCUCUAAACCCCGCCUCUCCUUGCAACAUGUGUUGGCCUUAUCUACCCAGCAACUGUCGACGUCACACGACCUGGACCUCCCUGAAUGGGAGAUAUUUACUAGACAAUCCCGCCUACUGUUCUGAGGUUUCCCCUCCAGGUGCCGCUUCGCAGCCAGGCGAGCCAGGAAGGACCGAAGCGGGCGAGGUGGAAGUCUGCAUUAUCAUGAGGAGCUUGGAAAGGAGGUAACACACUCAAAGUAAAUUUCAAGUAACUCCUUCUAGAGGCAGCUGCCUACUCUGCAGCUGUGGUUCUCCACCACAGAGAGAAGAAAAGGGAGGGAGAUGGAGUGCGCAGGUCUGAGAAGGCUUUCAUUCUGGAGCAUCUGCAGGAGCCUGUACCAUGGCCCAGUAGCACCCCUUUUUCUCCAUGAGCUGCUGGUGGGUUCCCCCCUCCCGGAUAGUGCCUCCUUCCAGAAAGAGGAUGUGGUCAGCCUGCUCCACCAGGCUGAGGUUCUGGGUGAUGAGAAGCACUGAGCGAGAGUACCGCUCAGGACUUUCAUACAGGAGCUGCUCCACCUGAGGAAAGACAUCGGACCAUCAGAGCUGGGAGCCCAGGGAGCCACCUUUGUUUCCAGGGCUGGGACUGACCUCACAGGAUCACUGUUGACUCUGCCAACAACCCUAAGGACACCAAAGUUUCCCAUUCUGAGUACUUCUCUGCAAACCCUUUGUUUCAUUAAGAACUGUUUUAAAUGAAGGGUGCAAAAGUGGGAUAAAAGUGAGAGUCCUAGAGUGAAACACAUGACAGAAGAAUAAAGACUAUUGAAUAGUCCUCUUCUCUACCCAUGGACUUGGAAUUUUUAUAUUAGAUUUUAAGGAAAUAUAACUUAGUAGUAAAGAGGUGAGCCUUCAAGUCAGGCAGAUCCAAAUUUGGGUCAAGGCUGCACCACUCAAAAGCUAUAUGACCUCUAUAUGAGCAGCUUAUUCAAUCUCUUUUAGCCUCCAUUUUGUCAUCUGUAGAAUGAUGAUAAAUGCCUAGCUCAGAAGGAUUCCUAAUGAAUAAAUGAGUGGCAGUGUGUGUAAAGAGACUAGCUUAAUUAAUAUUAUGAUUAGGAUGGGCUGGGCCCAGUGGCUCAUGCCUCUAAUCCUAGCACUUUGGGAGGUCAAGGUGGGAAGAUCACUUGAGCCCAGGAGUUCAAGGCCAGCCUAGGCAACAUAGUGGGACCCUGUCUGUACCAAAAAAAAUUUAAAAAUAAACACUAUUAUGAGGAUGGCU